AUAGUCUGAUUUCUCUCUUCAGGUCGUACAAAUUUUCCGCCUUUUACUAAAGAUUUCUGUAGAGAGGAACAAGUACGAGUCAUAAGAAAAUUUUUGUGGCUCCAUUACGGUAGAGC
Molecule: small nuclear RNA, 116 nt
Filed under: Cyanoderma ruficeps (rufous-capped babbler)
Lineage: Eukaryota; Metazoa; Chordata; Aves; Passeriformes; Timaliidae
Description: U5 spliceosomal RNA (ENSCRFG00000015300.1)
Rfam family: U5 spliceosomal RNA
About the family: U5 RNA is a component of both types of known spliceosome.
Source: Rfam by way of RNAcentral